Molecule: ribosomal RNA, 624 nt
Filed under: uncultured fungus
Lineage: Eukaryota; Fungi
Description: eukaryotic LSU rRNA
Rfam family: Eukaryotic large subunit ribosomal RNA
Source: RNAcentral
AUAUCAUUAAGCGGAGGAAAAGAAAUUAACUAAGAUUGCCUCAGUAACGGCGAGUGAAGCGGCGAAAGCCCAAACUGGAAAUCUUCACACUGCGUGUGACGAAUUGUAAUCUAAAGGUGGGUCGCUCACCGGGUGGAGGCGCAGAAGUUCCCACGAACGGGACGCCAGAGAGGGUGACAGCCCCGUAUGUGGUGCCUUUGCCUAACGAGCCCCUUCCUACGAGUCGGGUUGUUUUGAAUUGCAGCCCUAAGCGGGAGAUAGACUUCUUCUAAGGCUAAAUAUCUAUGGGAAACCGAUAGCGAACAAGUACUGUGAAGGAAAGAUGAAAAGAACUUUGAAAAGAGAGUUAAAAGACUUGAAAUCGUUUAUAAGGAAGCGGUAGACAUUUAUUCUUAGCCGUGGAAGGAUGGCGCUGGCCUAACCACUGACCCGCGCCAGCAGUGCGUAUGGCUGUUAGGGCCACCUGGUGAAGCGACAGCCGGUUUCCGCGGCGUGAGGCAAGAUGAGGUUCCGCAUCCACACAAGCUUGGCCGACCUGGGCUGCUUCGGCAGUCAGUCUCCCUGUGCUCGUGGGCGCGGAGCGUGAGGGUCUUUGUGCGAUCUUGCCAAAAUGGUUUUUACCGA